Regulatory RNA element from Roseisalinus antarcticus, 117 nucleotides. It matches the Rfam family "ALIL pseudoknot". The record is from Rfam. NCBI's taxonomy places the organism in Bacteria, Pseudomonadati, Pseudomonadota, Alphaproteobacteria, Rhodobacterales, Roseobacteraceae.
GGCGUAUCUUGCGUUGGCGGAGCUCGACCGCCGGUCGAAAUGAUGGUGGAUUUCAUUGACGCGCACAGGAGCGCGCACGGGGUCGAGCCGAUCCGCAAGGUGCUGCCGAUCGCCCCG